Long non-coding RNA from Daphnia carinata, 1443 nucleotides. RefSeq lists it as uncharacterized. The transcript has 5 exons. NCBI's taxonomy places the organism in Eukaryota, Metazoa, Arthropoda, Branchiopoda, Diplostraca, Daphniidae. The record is from RefSeq and is a predicted model, not a curated record.
AUGCAUUCGUCCAUGUGAAACAUAAAACCAAGAUGACCAACAUACCUAAGUGGAUUCCGUAAAAAUGAGCCAUAUUUCUAAUUAAAUCUUCUGCGUUGUUGUCUCGAAUGCAGGGAAUGCUGUGUCUUGCCAUUGACGAUUUGUCGCUUUUUAUAGGCAGAUGGAAGCCGUACAUUUGACAGCGAUUGGUAUGCACUAUUCCUGUUAAAAUGAAGCCACUAUUUAAUGUUUCAACAGGUGUGCUACACGUGGAAGCAAAUAGAUGCUCAUGUUAUGAAGACUUUUCCCCCUUAUUGUUCCAUUUCGAUGUUCAAUUGUGCGGGUGUGCUGCCAACGCAUAUUUAAUUCUGCUUAUUUGACUGUUUGAAUUAGGAAAUGUGUGCGGCAGUUGCAAUGCGCAAAUCUUUACUUCGGGACUACAUGAUAUCAUUGCCGUGAACCGUUUGCUGAACUCUACGCCCUGUCUAUAACCCUCCUCUGAACUACACCGCACAAAGUAAUUUGCAGCGAACAUAUUUACAUUUCAUCGCAAACAAACCUGUCAUUUACAUGGAAAUGUGUGCGGCAGUUGCAAUGCGCAAAUCUUACUUCGGGAUAUACUACAUGAUAUCUCGGUGAACCCAUUUCUGAACUCAACUACACCGCACACAGCUUUCACAGCAUUUACUGACUAACACAUCUGCGCUCGUUUUGAAUCGCAACUCUUCAAAAUAGCGGCCAUUGCGUUCUUCUGCUUUUGAUUGUUGCGACCUGAAGGAAAGUUGUCUUUUGAAAUCGCAAGAUGGUGCCAGGUUAAGCUUCAAAACAAGAUUUUGGCGGAAACUGAGUCUCCAUGAAUCUCAAAGAAGCCAGGGAAAUCGCGCGACAGAUGGGAAGAAGCACGUUGCAAUAGCAUUGCUGUUAAUAAUCGGAAAAGGAAAAGAAAUAUGGUAGAAAAACCAAACACUCACGUGCUGCUUUUAGUGGAUGUUCAAGUUGUCUUCCAGUUUCUUGGGCCAGAGGGAGGAAUUUGUUACUGCGGUACAAGCCUAAAGAAAUAAAGAAUCUUCCAACCAGAUUGUGGCAUAACCAACUGGCAUGAAACAACCUAUAGUCCACGGUGCAUGCCAGAAAGGAAGGAUUGAUUACUGGUGUAUUGAGUGGGCUGGUGUAAACAUCUAACAAUCUGGUAAAAAGAGUGGGGUAAAGACAAUGUUGUAUGAGUAAUUUAAUAUUGGUGUCAAAGCCUUUAAAAAUAUUUGCCAAUGCUUCCCCAUUGUCAACCAGAACAACUAACAGUGUAAAACUAGGAUUCUUCAAAUGAUUGUUAGUGUAUUUAAUCUGGAAAUGCUCCAACCUACAACUGCUCAAGGUAUUCUUUUUUAGAUUUAUUUUAUUCUCAAACCACGCUUCAAAUGGUAAUGUGGACAAGGAAAUAAUACCUCCACUCAUUUAAUAGGUUUU